CAGUAGCCGCGGGAAUACGAAGGGUGCAAGCGUUACUCGGAAUUACUGGGCGUAAAGCGUGCGUAGGUGGUGGUUUAAGUCCGUUGUGAAAGCCCUGGGCUCAACCUGGGAAUUGCAGUGGAUACUGGGUCACUAGAGUGUGGUAGAGGAUAGUGGAAUUUCCGGUGUAGCAGUGAAAUGCGUAGAGAUCGGAAGGAACAUCUGUGGCGAAGGCGACUAUCUGGGCCAACACUGACACUGAGGCACGAAAGCGUGGGGAGCAAACAGGAUUAGAUACCCCUGUAGUCCCUGUAUCUUAUAA
This 301-nucleotide ribosomal RNA is filed under the name uncultured bacterium. Its description in RNAcentral is "partial 16S ribosomal RNA". It matches the Rfam family "Bacterial small subunit ribosomal RNA", at positions 509 to 809 of the family's 1533-position model. The record is from RNAcentral.